Molecule: long non-coding RNA, 251 nt
Filed under: Hordeum vulgare
Lineage: Eukaryota; Viridiplantae; Streptophyta; Magnoliopsida; Poales; Poaceae
Description: long non-coding RNA (HVUL_LNC010903)
Source: RNAcentral
AGUAUAGGGGAUCAAUCGUAGUCCUUUCGAUAAGUAAGAGUGUCGAACCCAACGAGGAGCAGAAGGCUCUGAUAAACGGAUUUCAGCAAGGUAAUAACUGCAAGCACUGAAAGUAGCGGUAACAAGUGAUUGUGUAGCGAGGUGAAACGUAGCGAGUAAAAAGUAACAAGUAACAAGUAGUAGCAACGGUGCAGCAAGUGGCCCAAUCCCUUUUGUAGCAAGGAACAAGCCUGAACAAAGUCUUAUAGGAG